This 2159-nucleotide long non-coding RNA is filed under the name Canis lupus familiaris (dog). Its description in RNAcentral is "lncRNA (ENSCAFG00000050146.1)". Lineage: Eukaryota; Metazoa; Chordata; Mammalia; Carnivora; Canidae. The record is from RNAcentral.
UAGGCAGGAGUCAUUUUUAACCAUGCUAGGAUUUCCUACACGAAGAAUAUCAUUUAACUUGUCACAUUGCUGACGCAUACUGUACCUAUGAGCAGUUGAUCACUGUUGAUCAGUGUUUCUCAGUGGGAGUGCCAUUGGCAUUUGGAGCUGGGCAAUUCUUUGUUUACAGAAAUGUUCCCUGCAUUGCAAGAUGUUUUAUAUCCUAAGCCCCUGCUGACUAAAUGCCAGUAGCAUGCCCAGUCACUGUAAAACCCAAAAGUCAGAAGCACUCCUUCAUGUUCAAAGGCCCUUCUAAGGCAGUACCACCUCCCUUGAGUUCUACUGUCUGCAAUUUGAGAACACACAGGGUAAAGUACCUAUUUUAAAACAUGGUCACUACUGUCUUGCAUUACUCUGUGCCCUGAAUAGUUUCUUCCCCCUUUAUUUUUCAAGCCUUCUGCUUCAGUGAAGCUUUAAUUUGCCAGGUCUUCAGGGAGGACGUUGCUGGGCAGCCUUGGCAGUUUCAAUGGGCGUAGUCACUUGGCUAGUCCCUGUAUGUACUUACAGGAGAAAUUUCAAAUGAAGCAAACUUUCUUUUUCCUAUUUUGACCUCAUAGUUUUACCUAAGAACUACACUGGUUUGUCACAAUCUUUGUUAGUGUCAUGAGGAUUAUUGCAUGGCUUAACCCCAAAUACAACUAACAAUCCACAUAAACAAAACCAGUGGUCCAUGAAAAUCACUGUUAGAUUUCAACUUGUAAGGUACAUCCUUUAAAUUACAAAGCAAUCACCUAUUUAUCCUAUUAAAGAAACAUUUAACCCACAUGUAAAUGCUUGAAUUCUUCCUGUAUAACUCUAGUCACACAGUUCAACUUUGCUAAAAUUUGUGAACACUGAAGGAAGCAUGGAUAACUGGAUUGCAUGCAUAUUGUUCAUACUUCAAUGAUGGUCAUAACAAGAUGAUUUUUUUCCUACUUGAAACAUGAUUGAACUAUGCUAACAGUACAUAUGCAUACUUAUUCUCUGUUGCUUUUUAUCACCAAAACUGAAUGGCAAAUACGUAUUGAAAUGAUUUGGAUGAAUUGUGGCUCAUAGAAUGGAAGAGUUUAGCCACUAUAAUUUUUCAAAAUACUAAAAUUUCUAGAUCUGUUUUUCGAGACAGAGCAAUUCGGAGUUGAUAAAGGAAGUUAUAUUGUGAACUUUUAGAUGGUGCUUAAGAAUUCUUACCUUGUUAAAUACCAGUAUUUUUUUUUUCUUUUUAAGAAUAAAUUAAAGGGAGUAAAUGAAGCAGAAUGCCACUCCACCCUCAGGUCAAUUUCAUGGUAUACUAAAAUGCCAAUAAUAUUUGUGCCACUUGCCAAAUUAGGGGACUUUUCCCUUACUGGAUGCUUUUGUCACAGUUUGUAUCAUUACAUUGCUUAGAGAGAUUCCACAAAAAGAUGUCACCUUUGCAGUGCUAACUAGCAUUUGAAAAAAAAUCUGAAUAAACCUAGGGUCAAACCACUUUCAUUACUUAAAAUAUAGGCACGAAUUUUUAUUUUUAUUUUUUUAAUAUUUCUUCUGUGGCUUAGAAAUGUGCCAAUGUGUUCAAAACAUUCUGCACCAAUUUCACGAGAUUUAGUACCUAGCAAAAACUCAAACUUGUCAUUUUUUUCUAUGUAAGUGAUUUUUAAAGAACUAUAUGUAUUCUUUUGUUAUUUCACUUUGGUUAAAAUGGUUAAGAAUGGUAAGCUGUGACCAUUAUCAGACUGACUGAAUGAUUCCUGAUUUCCAGUAAGUGAUCUAAUUCUACAUAUUACACAGGUACAAUAUCUGUGGGUGUAAAUAACUGGAACUGUACACUGAUUAACAUGACAGUUUCUCUUUUUUUGUUAUUAUUGAUCUGUACUGUAUUAUAGUAUGUGGGUAUAAAUACCUACAAGUAUACACAGAUAUGUAUAUGUAUUCCACUAUUGUAACCUGAAAGACAGACUAUGUAUUAUCUUUUUUUAUUCCUUACUGGUGUUUGUGUUAUUUAAAAAGCAAAAUUAUGCUCUAUUUAGUUGUAUAUUAUAGGAUACUUUGCUGUGCACAAUUCCAAGUGCCUUAGAAUAUUGUUUAGCUUUCUUAAGUAUAUAUAAAUGCAUAUAUGUAUAAAAUUGGGAAAAGUUACCUCAAUAAAAUUAUUGGGAAAUCCCCAA